This 75-nucleotide transfer RNA is filed under the name Pythium insidiosum. Its description in RNAcentral is "tRNA-Asn". It matches the Rfam family "tRNA". From Rfam's summary of the family: Transfer RNA (tRNA) molecules are approximately 80 nucleotides in length. Their secondary structure includes four short double-helical elements and three loops (D, anti-codon, and T loops). Further hydrogen bonds mediate the characteristic L-shaped molecular structure. tRNAs have two regions of fundamental functional importance: the anti-codon, which is responsible for specific mRNA codon recognition, and the 3' end, to which the tRNAs corresponding amino acid is attached (by aminoacyl-tRNA synthetases). tRNAs cope with the degeneracy of the genetic code in two manners: having more than one tRNA (with a specific anti-codon) for a particular amino acid; and 'wobble' base-pairing, i.e. permitting non-standard base-pairing at the 3rd anti-codon position. Lineage: Eukaryota; Oomycota; Peronosporomycetes; Pythiales; Pythiaceae. The record is from RNAcentral.
UCUCCUAUAGCUCAGUUGGUAGAGCGUGUGGACUGUUAACCGCAAGGUCGCCGGUUCGAACCCGGCUGGAGAGAA